UACAGAGGGGGCAAGCGUUGUCCGGAUUUACUGGGCGUACAGCGCGCGCAGGCGGCCGCGUAUGUGACCGGUGACAUCCUCGGGCUCAACCCGAGGCGGCCCGGUUAGACAGCGUAGCUGGAGGCAGGGAGAGGGAUGUGGAAUACCCGGUGGAGCGGUGAAAUGCGUAGAGAUCGGGUGGAACACCAGCGGCGAAGGCGGCAUCCUGGCCCUGUUCUGACGCUGAGGCGCGAUAGCGUGGGGAGCAAACGGG
RNAcentral lists this ribosomal RNA (253 nucleotides) under uncultured bacterium. RNAcentral describes it as "partial 16S ribosomal RNA". It matches the Rfam family "Bacterial small subunit ribosomal RNA", at positions 524 to 776 of the family's 1533-position model. The record is from RNAcentral.